AUGAACGCUGGCGGCGUGCCUAAUACAUGCAAGUCGAGCGAACAGAUAAGGAGCUUGCUACUUUGACGUUAGCGGCGGACGGGUGAGUAACACGUGGGUAACCUACCUAUAAGACUGGAAUAACUCCGGGAAACCGGGGCUAAUGCCGGAUAACAUUUAGAACCGCAUGGUUCUAAAGUGAAAGAUGGUUUUGCUAUCACUUAUAGAUGGACCCGCGCCGUAUUAGCUAGUUGGUAAGGUAACGGCUUACCAAGGCAACGAUACGUAGCCGACCUGAGAGGGUGAUCGGCCACACUGGAACUGAGACACGGUCCAGACUCCUACGGGAGGCAGCAGUAGGGAAUCUUCCGCAAUGGGCGAAAGCCUGACGGAGCAACGCCGCGUGAGUGAUGAAGGUCUUCGGAUCGUAAAACUCUGUUAUUAGGGAAGAACAAAUGUGUAAGUAACUGUGCACGUCUUGACGGUACCUAAUCAGAAAGCCACGGCUAACUACGUG
RNAcentral lists this ribosomal RNA (496 nucleotides) under uncultured bacterium. RNAcentral's name for it is "partial 16S ribosomal RNA". It matches the Rfam family "Bacterial small subunit ribosomal RNA", at positions 29 to 507 of the family's 1533-position model. The record is from RNAcentral.